UCCACCUCUUCUGAGCUUUCUGAGCCUCGGCCUCCCCACUCAUGAACUGGGGACUAUGGUGGCAGCUAUUGCCUGAUUCUGUUGUGAACUUUAAAUGGGUUUUUGUUUGUCUUAAAGAUAUGGCUGAGAACCCAGGAGGUGGACUCUGAGGAGUCAAAUGUCCAGUGCCAUUAAAGUAGGUAUGGGAGAAAGCAAGAGGGUGGGGUUUCUGUCCUUGAAGACUGAAGAAGUCCAGAAGGAUCUGCAGUGCUGAGUCUUCAGUUGCGGAGUUGUAGCCCUGGAGUAUAAGCCUUUGGACUUGAGGCGAACACGAACCCAAGAAGCCCGCCUCACUGAGUCCUUCCUUGUUUCAGAGAUCAUGCUGAAACUUGAGGCGUGGUAUCGAAGAGAGCCAUAAAGUCAGAUAGGCAUCAGGCACUUGGACUUGGAUAAAACACACUUCUGGCAGCGAGCAGCGAACUUGCCCCCAAGCCAAAGGAGAUUACAAGCAGCUUUAUAAAUCGCAGGCUCCGGAAUGCUUCAGAAGUCUCUCACCGAGUGGGGAGUGGUAGCUGGACAGUAAUGGUACAGUAGGCAUAAUUGCCCACUUCACAAGCCCCAAAAUAACAUCACUGAUGUUUCUAUUUAGAGGGUUGGGUUAUGAUUUCCUUUUGGUGGAUUUAACACGGCUCGGGGUUAAUAAUGCUCUCAGUUCCCUAAUAUGAGGUUUCCCUCGGGCCUGAGGUUUCUCAGCUUCAGGUGAUCUUUCCCCGGAGAGUUCUGAGCCCGGAGAAGCACAGUGAUGCUGUAGGAAAGGGUCUGAAGUGAGCAAACCAGCAGUCUCCUCAGAAGGGCAGGGAUUUAGGUAAAAAGGAAAUAAACUAGUUUUUACUGUCCGACAAGAAAACACACAGGGACUUCAGAAGUACCCCAGUUUGCCUCAAAACACCAUGAAUCAAGGGUCAUUGGCCCUACUUGACGUGGGAUGUGACCCGAUGGCAAGCAUCCAGAGCAGGGACGUCGUAACAUUCUUCUUCCUACACUAUCAUUUCCCUUCAAGUAUAAUUUAAAAGAUGUAUGUACGGGUGUUAGGGAGGGGAAAUAUGGUGGGAGAGGAAAGUCUGGGAGACACGGAAACAGCAUUUCACACAGAGAGGAAAAGCAGAUUAAGUGACUGGAAAGAGUGACUUACCCAUCCAUUCAUUGGGCGAACGUUCGGUGCUUGUCAGAGUGACUUAUCCGUCUGCUCACUGGGCAGACCUAAUGGAACGUUUGUCACCUGUGGGGAAUUAUCUGCAAAAACUUCACAAUCGAAUAAUUAGAGCAAGUCUGUGAAUGUUGAGUUCACGGCUGGAGGGCAUUUGCUGAGAAAAUGGGAGACUGUGUAGGAUAGCUAUGCCUCAGAAGCUAAAGGCAAAGAAGGUAAAAUGCAGGGGAGGGGUGAGGGAGUGUCUAAGUACAGACGGUAUUGGCUGUUUUCCCGGCUGCUUUUGGACUGGAUCGCCUCUUAACUGUCUAAUUAAAGUCAGGGUCAGUCACACCUGUCAGGGGUGUUGGAGGAGGACCUGAUGCACCUGAGUUGAAAGGGUAGAGAACCACCCUUGCAGGGAGUGGGAGAAGAUAAAAAUUUGUGCUGCUCUAUUUUUUGACCGUUUUUUAGAUUUUAUGAGGCCAAGGAAUUAAUUACUAACGACAGUUCCUGACAGACAUUAAGUGCUUUUAUAAUGUUGCUUUUAAGGAAAACUUAUGAAAAAAAGAUUGAAGCAAAUUCAACAAAUUUUGGCAAGAGUACAUCUGCUCUUUCUUGGAGUCUAGAGUUUGCUAGAAUGGUUGCUCUUCUUUGCUUUUCUUGUACCCAUUAUAUACCCCUAGUUUUGCUAAGGCUCCUAUAAGAAUUUAGCAGGCUUACCAGUUUUACACAUUUAUCUCCAACACCAGAACAGUGGCAAGUCAAUAGUAGUAAUAAUAAUAAUAAUGAAAUACAAACCUGUCAGAAACGGAGUGAAUAGGGGCUGGAGAGAUGGCUCAGCGGUUAAGAAUGCACACUUCUCAGAGACGACCUGUGUUCAGUUUCCAGCACCUACAUUGGAUGCAUCACAACCUUUAGGGGAUCCAGCGCCCCCGCCUGGCCUCCUCCGGCACCUUCACUCAUUUACAACUCCCACAUAUACAUAAGUAAAAUCUUUAUAAAAUGAACCUUAAAAAACAAGUGGAAUGGAGCCGAGUUUAUUUGUAAGUGAUUCUGAGACGCCAUGGAUGACAACAUACGCCAACACCAGAUAUCACCUGAAGCCAACCGACCCUGCUAAGUAGCCUGCUGACCUGGAAGGUGAACCGCAGUUGGGGCCCAUCCCUUAAUCAUCGUCUGUAUGCUGGUCAGUUAGCACCUCUUUUACUUGAGUUGAAUUUUCCACUUAAUAAAAUGACACCUCCGAGGCAUGGAAUGUGUUUUGCACCAGUGUGCAGCACACACGGAAUACUGGGACCUGUUCUGAAUUAUAUACAUAAUCAACUUUGUAAAUCAUUGUGCUGAGCAACUCCACAAAGCCCUCUGGUUUUGCCUCCUGAGAAAUAAGCUCUAAGUUUGACUUCAAUCCUCCCCCCCAACCAAAAAAUGUCAUAAAAGGGGGUCAGGUAUGUAUUCCAUCUCAGACUGUACCUUCUUAACCUGCAUUCCCAGAAGCAUCUCCAGCGAGUGACUUCUUGAACUAAGUUGUUAAACUGUUCAUCAAUUCUGCCUUUAAAUUCCAAACAUUUUUCUCCUCAGCUGGAUUACCUUCUAAAGCCGCAGGUUCUGGAGCUCCCAAACGUAUCUGUAAUGAUAUCUGCUACUCACUCCACCCAAAGACCCAACAGUCUGGGGCAAAGGCUGAGUCUGCCUCUCUGUGAGCUUCUUUGACUUCCCCUAAGCACAGUGCUUGACAUCCAGGUCGGCUGAGUAGCUUAUGUAAACUAAACAGUAGAUGGCCAGUGAAACAGGGGUGCCUUGUAGUGUGAGUGUGGCUUGCACAAAAGGAACGAAGAGCCCUUAGUUCUCCAGGAACUUUUAAGAUGCUGGACCUAGGGAUUAGGGACGUCUGGAGUUUGAACCCUGAGCACAAUUAGUGGGUAAGAACAUGAAGAUAAGGGUUGUGGAAGAAAACAGUGAUGUUGGGGUUUCUAGCCAUCUCUCUUGUAAGAGUUUCAUCGAGAGGAUAGCUCAUUUUAUACCAGGCAUCUCCCAUCAUCUUUAUGGGUGAGAAAUCCGAUCUACAUUUGGAUCUCAUGCCUCACGCUCCAGGCAUAUUUAUGUAUCGCUUAUUCUUGUAUUCCUUCCUUCCUUUCCCUUCCGCUCACUGGUUGGCUUACUAAGGAGAUACCUGAGCACAAACUAUGCAGGGCUCAUUAAGACUUCAGGAACUGGAGAUAGCUUGUGAAACAUAGUAACCCCAAAUUAAAUGCUUACGUCUUCCGGGCAAUUGAGCCUGUCCACUGGCUGGUUUAGCAGGCACCAGAAUUUUGACGGAGGUGUUGCCUACCGAGCACUCUUUAGUGAUGAUAAUUUCAACAAAGGCCUUUCAGAUUUUCUGUAUUAAGUUACAGGGCGGUUUCUUUCCCUCACCAUCGUGAUCAAGUUCUUUCCCUCCGCACCUCCACCUCGCUGAGCUGUUACACCGAGUAACUGGCUGGGAACACAAAGUACAAGAGGUUGCUUUUAUGUCAAACUAAUCUUUAACAAUUUUUUUUUUUUGAGCAAGGAGAUGAAAGGCAAAGCAGAAAAUGACCUUUCCCCCAGCAUUUUCAGUUCUGUAUUAGAGAGACACAGGCAGAGAUUUUUUUUUUUUUUAAUUCAAACCUAAAUCAUUUCAGAUGAGUUUCCUAGGCACAAUAUUUGGAGAGGGUGCAUGGGGGCUGCCUCACGUCCCACUGGCUGAAUAUCACAACCAAAUAAACAACUGACAUAA
Molecule: long non-coding RNA, 3923 nt
Organism: Meriones unguiculatus (Mongolian gerbil)
Lineage: Eukaryota; Metazoa; Chordata; Mammalia; Rodentia; Muridae
Exons: 2
Source: RefSeq, a predicted model, not a curated record